Molecule: long non-coding RNA, 837 nt
Filed under: Homo sapiens (human)
Lineage: Eukaryota; Metazoa; Chordata; Mammalia; Primates; Hominidae
Description: HSALNT0388802
Source: RNAcentral
UUGGGGAAAGUUGCUUCCCCUCUCUGAACCUGUUUCCUCACUGUAAAUUCAGAUUCAUCCUUUAUUGAGCACCUACUAUGUGCCAGGCAUUGGGUUGAGUGCUGGGGAUAAAGUAAUGAGCAAGCCCUUAUCUUGAUGAACAGUUACGGAAUAAAAUAGACCUGCAAAAAUAAACACGCAAUUCACAACUGAGGAGACGCCACAUAUGACCUGGUACACACAUCUAUCUUUGUCUUCUGAGAUGGCGAAAGAUAUCCUGGGACCUGAGCCCAACCCACCCACAGGACCUUUUUCCCAGUCCCAGGGGCCAUAGCCAGGUGCUAUGACAAGCUCCAAAGAGAUGCUUCUCCCACUUUCUCCCCAUCCCCACUCCUAACAAUGACCAGACAGAGGGGGCCUCCUGGGCCUGAGCGGGGCUGGGCAGCCUCAGUUCUUGGUGCGAAGGACCUGCUCGUGGGUGGACACCACCUUGCCAUCGUGCACAUCCAUGAUCUUGGUGUGGAUUUGGUGGCUGGAGGAGGUCACUGGGGAAGAGGCGGAAAGAGGACAUUACCAGAGGUGGACAGACAAUGGACUAAUCAGGAGUAAGGAGGCCAAGAAGACUAGGGCUCCCAAAGGUCAGAGACAGAGUCUUUGUCUUCAGAUUAGAGCUUCCUAAGAGCUCACACCCAGCUGGUUCCGUCCAUAUUCACCCAAUGGAGUGGUCUCGGUGGGAGGAGCCCUGCAGGGCCCUGUUCAUGGUGCUGAGCACCACAGCAAUAGGAUCUGCCACAGACACCCGGUAGAAGUAAGAGGCGGCGGUAGGUGGCGAUCUCCUGUUCCAGCCGCAUCUUCACG